This 433-nucleotide ribosomal RNA is filed under the name uncultured bacterium. Its description in RNAcentral is "bacterial SSU rRNA". It matches the Rfam family "Bacterial small subunit ribosomal RNA", at positions 29 to 507 of the family's 1533-position model. The record is from RNAcentral.
AACGAACGCUGGCGGCAUGCCUAACACAUGCAAGUCGAACGAGAUCUUCGGAUCUAGUGGCGCACGGGUGCGUAACGCGUGGGAAUCUGCCCUUGAGUACGGAAUAACUCAGAGAAAUUUGUGCUAAUACCGUAUAAUGUCUUCGGACCAAAGAUUUAUCGCCCAAGGAUGAGCCCGCGUAGGAUUAGCUAGUUGGUGAGGUAAAAGCUCACCAAGGCGACGAUCCUUAGCUGGUCUGAGAGGAUGAUCAGCCACACUGGGACUGAGACACGGCCCAGACUCCUACGGGAGGCAGCAGUGGGGAAUAUUGGACAAUGGGCGAAAGCCUGAUCCAGCAAUGCCGCGUGAGUGAUGAAGGCCCUAGGGUUGUAAAGCUCUUUUACCCGGGAUGAUAAUGACAGUACCGGGAGAAUAAGCUCCGGCUAACUUCGUG